AUUUCCUCGAGCGUUUGAUUUGCAACCCGGCUGAUCUGAUGACCUGAAUGCCGCUGACAUCCCUAGAGGGUGAAGCUCAUUCUUUUGCUGCCCAAAUUUGAACUUUGGUGUAGAGGCCUCGACUUGAGAGGACUCGAUGCCGGUUGGAACAUUUGAUGAUGAUGAUUUCAUUCUCUAAACCUUUUGUCAUUGGGCUUCUGCUUUUGAGUUAAGGACUUUCUUGAGAAUCUUCCCCUUCUUUUGAAGGGGCAAGCUUAUGUCGCCAUGAUUUCUUUUAGGAGUUCUCCCCUUUAUUUUGAUGAGAGGCUUGAUCCCGCCUUAAACUCCUUCCCUUUAUUGGAAUCGGAAAAAUGACCCAGACCUUUUUUAUGUUGUUG
RNAcentral lists this long non-coding RNA (377 nucleotides) under Panax ginseng (ginseng). Its description in RNAcentral is "long non-coding RNA (PGIN_LNC000361)". Lineage: Eukaryota; Viridiplantae; Streptophyta; Magnoliopsida; Apiales; Araliaceae. The record is from RNAcentral.